UACUCCUACGGGAGGCAGCAGUAGGGAAUUUUCCACAAUGGGCGAAAGCCUGAUGGAGCAACGCCGCGUGCAGGAUGAAUGCCUUCGGGUUGUAAACUGCUUUUAUUAGUGACGAUUAUGACGGUAACUAAUGAAUAAGGACCUGCUAACUACGUGCCAGCAGCCGCGGUAAUA
This 174-nucleotide ribosomal RNA is filed under the name uncultured soil bacterium. RNAcentral describes it as "partial 16S ribosomal RNA". It matches the Rfam family "Bacterial small subunit ribosomal RNA", at positions 334 to 525 of the family's 1533-position model. The record is from RNAcentral.